This 383-nucleotide ribosomal RNA is filed under the name uncultured eukaryote. Its description in RNAcentral is "partial 18S ribosomal RNA". It matches the Rfam family "Eukaryotic small subunit ribosomal RNA", at positions 592 to 976 of the family's 1831-position model. The record is from RNAcentral.
CAAUAGCGUAUAUUAAAGUUGUUGCAGUUAAAAAGCUCGUAGUUGGAUUUCUGGUGGGAGCGAUCGGUCUGGCGCUUAGCGCGAGUACUUGCAUCGUCUCCGGCCAUCCUUGGGGAGAGUCUGUCUGGCAUUAGGUUGUCGGGCAGAGGAUCCUCAUCGUUUACUGUGAAAAAAUUAGAGUGUUCAAAGCAGGCUUAUGCCGUUGAAUAUAUUAGCAUGGAAUAAUAAGAUAGGACUUUGGUACUAUUUUGUUGGUUUGCGCACCAAAGUAAUGAUUAAUAGGGACAGUUGGGGGUAUUCGUAUUCCGUUGUCAGAGGUGAAAUUCUUGGAUUCGUUGAAGACGAACAAAUGCGAAAGCAUUUGCCAAGGAUGUUUUCAUUAA